Molecule: ribosomal RNA, 1496 nt
Filed under: human gut metagenome
Description: bacterial LSU rRNA
Rfam family: Bacterial large subunit ribosomal RNA
Source: RNAcentral
UAAAUACUCCCGAGAGACCGAUAGCGAACCAGUACUGUGAAGGAAAGGUGAAAAGAACCUCGAACAGAGGAGUGAAAGAGACCCUGAAACCAUGCGCCUACAAGCGGUCGGAGCAUGUUAAAAUGUGACGGCGUGCCUUUUGCAUAAUGAACCUACGAGUUACUCUCGCUGGCAAGGUUAAGCGAUUCAGUCGCGCAGCCGAAGCGAAAGCAAGUCCGAACAAGGCGUACAGUCAGCGGGAGUAGACGCGAAACCAAGUGAUCUACCCUUGGUCAGGUUGAAGGUUGGGUAACACCAACUGGAGGACCGCACCGAUAAGCGUUGAAAAGCUUACGGAUGAACUGAGGGUAGGAGUGAAAGGCCAAUCAAACUUGGAGAUAGCUCGUACUCCCCGAAAUGCAUUUAGGUGCAGCCUCGAAGUAAAGUGAUAGAGGUAGAGCGACUGAUAAGAUGCGAGGGCUUCACCGCCUAUCAAGUCUUGACAAACUCCGAAUACUAUCACUUGAUCUUCGGGAGUGAGGGCAUGGGUGCUAAGGUCCAUGUCCGAAAGAGGAACAACUCAGACCACCAGCUAAGGUCCCGAAAUAAGGGCUAAGUUGAAUAAACGAAGUAAAACUGCAAAGACAGCUAGGAUGUUGGCUUGGAAGCAGCCAUUCAUUUAAAGAGUGCGUAACAGCUCACUAGUCGAGGAGUUUUGCAUGGAUAAUAAUCGGGCAUAAGCCCUUUACCGAAGCUGUGGAUGUCGUAAGACAUGGUAGGGGAGCAUUCCGGCGGCGACGAAGGCCGUCCUCGAGGACGACUGGAGCUUUCGGAAAAGCAAAUGUAGGUAUAAGUAACGAUAAAGGGGGCGCGAAACCCCCUCGCCAUAAGACUAAGGAUUCCUGAUCAACGCUAAUCGGAUCAGGGUAAGUCGGGCCCUAAGGCGCAGCCGAACGGCGCAGCCGAUGGAAGAAACGGUAAAGAUUCCGUUACUGGAUAUAGGAGCGAUGUGGAGACGGAGAAGUGACACACCCGCCUGCCGACGGAAGCGCAGGUUAAAGGAAGUAGGUAAACGCCGGGUAGGCAAAUCCGCCUGGCGUGCCGAAACUGACAGUAUCGAGAGCCCCCGGGCAAUCGAAUAGCGGUGGUAAUCAGGCUCCCAAGAAAAUCCGCUAAGCAAAUUCUAUAUUCACCCGUACCCCAAACGGACACACGUAGUCGGGUAGAAUAUACCAAGGCGCUCGAAAGACUCACGGUUAAGGAACUAGGCAAAUUGACCCUGUAACCUCGGGAAAAAGGGUCCCCAGUAAGAUGGGGCGCAGAGAAUAGGUCCAGGCAACUGUUUAACAAAAACACAGGGCUGUGCAAAAUUUAGAGAUGAAGUAUACAGCCUGACACCUGCCCGGUGCCGGAAGGUUAAGAGGAGAGCUAAUCGCAAGAGAAGGCUUGAAUUGAAGCCCCGGUAAACGGCGGCCGUAACUAUAACGGUCCUAAGGUAGCGAAAUUCCUUGUCGGGU